RNAcentral lists this unclassified non-coding RNA (325 nucleotides) under soil metagenome. RNAcentral's name for it is "partial contains 5.8S ribosomal RNA, internal transcribed spacer 2, and large subunit ribosomal RNA". The stretch from base 1 to 119 matches the Rfam family "5.8S ribosomal RNA", at positions 35 to 154 of the family's 154-position model. The record is from RNAcentral.
GAUGAAGAACGUAGCGAAAUGCGAUAAGUAAUGCGAAUUGCAGAAUCCGUGAGUCAUCGAAUCUUUGAACGCACAUUGCGCCCCUUGGUAUUCCGAGGGGCAUGCCUGUUCGAGCGUCAUAUUAACCACUCCCGCUUGCGGGGUCUUGGGCUUCGCCUCCGGGCGGGCCUUAAAAUCAGUGGCGGUGCCGUCGGGCUCUACGCGUAGUAAAUUUUCUCGCGAUAGGGUCCCGGUGGAUGCUUGCCAACAACCCCCAACUUCUUAAGGUUGACCUCGGAUCAGGUAGGGAUACCCGCUGAACUUAAGCAUAUCAAUAAGCGGAGGA